RNAcentral lists this unclassified non-coding RNA (1550 nucleotides) under Melitaea cinxia (Glanville fritillary). Its description in RNAcentral is "misc RNA ENSMCXG00005012059.1". Lineage: Eukaryota; Metazoa; Arthropoda; Insecta; Lepidoptera; Nymphalidae. The record is from RNAcentral.
AGCGACUAGUUUGCACAUAUGACUAUUAGCAACACUCUGUAAAGGAUUUUUCUUAGAAUUUCGUUAACGAGUUGCACAAACGUAACUCUAUUGCGUCCCUGACUGAGAUCCAAUGGUCGAAAGCCAUACUUACUUCUCAGUUAGUGUAAUCCAACAUCCGAGUCGUUCAGAUACUUUCCGAGCACACAACAAGCACUGGGAGGCUGCGCCUCGCAACUCUUAACAGAUCUAACACAUUCCACAGCACGCACUGGUAGAAUCGGAGCCGCCACCUCACCGGACCACCGGAUCACUUGGAACGUACGUACGGAGGGAAAUAAAACGAUGCUUUAGGGAUUUUUGUAAAAAGAUAGUUAUAUUUUUGGCAUUGGACUAUGACACAAUAUAAUACUAUGAUAUGCUAAGUAAGCGUUUUAUAAAGACUUUUACAUGCCGAAUAUUCGUUAAUCAGACUAUUCAUCAGAGGACUCUUUAUAUAUAAUUUUAACAAACAUAACUGCUUACAAAAUGAGAGUAGAGUACGAUUCUAGUUUAGCACUCAGGACUGUUCUAGAACUCAUCACCUAUUCGAAAACAUAACUAUUACUAGUUUUAUUCGUAAUAUUUUUCUCACUUUCAUUUUUUUUUUCUUUACUCUAUAGGUACAUAUUUAUAUAAUACAAUUUUUGAACAUAUAAUUAUUAUCGAUAUGAUAUCUUAUACAGAAAUACGCAACGAAUCAGCGACGGUACAAUAAUUUAUAUGAAGCAUCGGUUACGGCGAUCGCAAUAAAUACUCUCGUUGGCGAGCGUGCGCCGGCGUCGGUCGCGCUAUCGUCCGGCACGGAAACACAAUCAACGUUCAAACAAUAUCAACGCACAUAGGUAUUAUUUGGUAUUCGGUUCGUGCGCGGCACGGCGGCGGCGGGCCCGGGCCCGGCGCGGUCGCUCCGCGCGGCACUUAUCACUAACUAAUCACGACAAAACAUCACAGAGACCGGCCCCGGCUACAUGUAGAUCGGCAGCUGCUGCAGCGCGCGCUUGUCGAAGCGCUCGUAGUGGGCGGCGGGUAGGGGUGCGGCUUGAGGCGCGCGCGCGCCGCCAGCUUGCCGCCCUCGGCCAGGUACUCGCAGCGGUAGCGCCGCGCGUCCUCGGGCGCCCGCGCGCGCUGCGCCUGGGCCGGCUGCGGCGGCGGCACCGGCGGGGCGGGCGCCGCGCGGCAGCAGCGCCGCAGCGCGCGCCCGCGCGAGCGCGCGUCCGGCGCCGCCGCCGAUGCGCUGGCCGCGUCGCCGCGCGGCAGGUUGUUCACGAACGGCACCCGCCGGAGGCUCUCGAGCCUCCGGAAGUGCGACGGGUGGAUCAUGAGCAGUGGCUCGAUCUUGACGCCCUGCGGUGGCUUGGCACAGUCGGGAAGCUCGUAUUCGAUACUGCAGUCUACGUGUAAAGGCACCGAGUAAUCCUUGGGGGCGAGCGAGGCGGGCCGCGCGUCCCGUCCGAAGCGGUCGGCGGCGGCGAAGUCGGCCUCGCCGCGGGCGUAGCCCGUCAUCGUAGCGGGCGCGGCCUCACGGCAUG